This 253-nucleotide ribosomal RNA is filed under the name uncultured bacterium. RNAcentral describes it as "partial 16S ribosomal RNA". It matches the Rfam family "Bacterial small subunit ribosomal RNA", at positions 524 to 776 of the family's 1533-position model. The record is from RNAcentral.
UACGAAGGGGGCUAGCGUUGUUCGGAAUCACUGAGCGUAAAGGGCGCGUAGGCGGCCGAUCAAGUCGGGGGUGAAAGCCUGUGGCUUAACCACAGAAUGGCCUUCGAUACUGUUUGGCUUGAGACCGGAAGAGGUUAGUGGAACUGCGAGUGUAGAGGUGAAAUUCGUAGAUAUUCGCAAGAACACCAGUGGCGAAGGCGGCUGACUGGUCCGGUUCUGACGCUGAGGCGCGAAAGCGUGGGGAGCGAACAGG